AACGAACGCUGGCGGCAUGCCUAACACAUGCAAGUCGAACGAGACCUUCGGGUCUAGUGGCGCACGGGUGCGUAACGCGUGGGAACCUGCCCUUAGGUUCGGAAUAACUCCCCGAAAGGGGUGCUAAUACUGGAUAAUGUCUUCGGACCAAAGAUUUAUCGCCUUUGGAUGGGCCCGCGUUGGAUUAGCUAGUUGGUAGGGUAAAAGCCUACCAAGGCGACGAUCCAUAGCUGGUCUGAGAGGAUGAUCAGCCACACUGGGACUGAGACACGGCCCAGACUCCUACGGGAGGCAGCAGUGGGGAAUAUUGGACAAUGCGCGAAAGCCUGAUCCAGCAAUGCCGCGUGAGUGAUGAAGGCCUUAGGGUUGUAAAGCUCUUUUACCCGGGAUGAUAAUGACAGUACCGGGAGAAUAAGCUCCGGCUAACUCCGUG
RNAcentral lists this ribosomal RNA (433 nucleotides) under uncultured bacterium. RNAcentral describes it as "partial 16S ribosomal RNA". It matches the Rfam family "Bacterial small subunit ribosomal RNA", at positions 29 to 507 of the family's 1533-position model. The record is from RNAcentral.